GAUCAGUGAGCUAUGGGCAGAACUGCCCUGACUAUAGGUGGCACCAUGCAAACAGGAAGGGAUCUGGGUGAAACAAAUGCAGAAGGAUGAAGCCCAAUAGCACAGCUUGUCUGGCUCUUUCUUGUUCUCUCUGCUUUCUGGCAAACGUGAGGUGCAUUCGGAAGCCCAAGAAGUCGUCACGGACCAGAGCUGACAGCCUCUCUCUCAGCAGGGUUGCAUCCAUUAAUGCAAUGCUUUGGUGGCAUGUGAGUCCUCAGGUAAGAAGUCUCAGGGUACCGCAGUGUGUUUAAUUGUCACGUCUCCGAGGCUUGUCUCAGCUGGGACUUUGGAUCUGGCAGCUUCGGCUCAGCUCUGCUUGGUGCCAACCCUCGUUGUUUUUGAUGACCUUGACAGAUUUUUUAAAAUUGUUCCUAUUAAAGCAACACAAGCUCUCCCAGCCAGCUCCUGUGUCUCUGAAACACCCUAGCAAUUCCUAGAAAGAGCCAUUUCUCCAAAUAACACUGUUCCCUCCCAAGAUCAGAAGCCAAGGUCUCUCCCUGGACACUACGUGUGCCCAUGCGUCCUGUGACUCUGUUGUUUCUGGGCCCCUCUCAGCUAAGAGGACAAGGAGACACAUGGUGUAUUCUACUUCUUGUACUUACGUGUAUUUACAUGAAAGCUUCAUUGAUGGAGAUUGACCUGCUUUUGAUCACAGCUCCAACACUUGUCAGCUAUGUGACCUGGGGCUAUACCUCAGCUCCCAGUAUGA
Chinchilla lanigera (long-tailed chinchilla) is the source of this 748-nucleotide long non-coding RNA. RefSeq lists it as uncharacterized. The transcript is spliced from 6 exons. NCBI's taxonomy places the organism in Eukaryota, Metazoa, Chordata, Mammalia, Rodentia, Chinchillidae. The record is from RefSeq and is a predicted model, not a curated record.